CCUACGGGUGGCAGCAGUGGGGAAUAUUGCACAAUGGGCGCAAGCCUGAUGCAGCCAUGCCGCGUGUGUGAAGAAGGCCUUCGGGUUGUAAAGCACUUUCAGCGGGGAGGAAGGCGGUGAGGUUAAUAACCUCAUCGAUUGACGUUACCCGCAGAAGAAGCACCGGCUAACUCCGUGCCAGCAGCCGCGGUAAUACGGAGGGUGCAAGCGUUAAUCGGAAUUACUGGGCGUAAAGCGCACGCAGGCGGUCUGUCAAGUCGGGUGUGAAAUCCCCGGGCUCAACCUGGGAACUGCAUUCGAAACUGGCAGGCUAGAGUCUUGUAGAGGGGGGUAGAAUUCCAGGUGUAGUGGUGAAAUGCGUAGAGAUCUGGAGGAAUACCGGUGGCGAAGGCGGCCCCCUGGACAAAGACUGACGCUCAGGUGCGAAAGCGUGGGGAGCAAACAGGAUUAGAUACCCCUGUAGUC
This 465-nucleotide ribosomal RNA is filed under the name uncultured Klebsiella sp. Its description in RNAcentral is "bacterial SSU rRNA". It matches the Rfam family "Bacterial small subunit ribosomal RNA", at positions 338 to 795 of the family's 1533-position model. The record is from RNAcentral. Lineage: Bacteria; Pseudomonadati; Pseudomonadota; Gammaproteobacteria; Enterobacterales; Enterobacteriaceae.